AGCAGCCGCGGUAAUUCCAGCUCCAAUAGCGUAUAUUAAAGUUGUUGCAGUUAAAAAGCUCGUAGUUGAAUUUCGGGAUCAAUAUAUCGGUCGUGCCUUGGUACGUACUGGUAUCAUUGGUUUCUCCUUUCUGACGAACCAUGAUGUCAUUAAUUUGGUGUUAUGGGAAGUUAGGACUGUUACUUUGAAAAAUUAGAGUGUUUAAAGCAGGCUUUGGCUUGAAUACAUUAGCAUGGAAUAAUGAAAUAGGACGUUCGAACCUAUUUUGUGGUUUCUAGGAUCAACGUAAUGAUUAAUAGGGAUAGUUGGGGGCAUUAGUAUUCAAUUGUCAGAGGUGAAAUUCUUGGAUUUAUUGAAGACUAACUACUGCGAAAGCAUUUGCCAAGGAUGUUUUCAUUAAUCAAGAACGAAAGUUAGGGGAUCGAAGACGAUCAGAUACCGUCGUAGUCUUAACCAUAAA
Molecule: unclassified non-coding RNA, 460 nt
Filed under: uncultured Glomus
Lineage: Eukaryota; Fungi; Glomeromycota; Glomeromycetes; Glomerales; Glomeraceae
Description: SSU rRNA
Rfam family: Eukaryotic small subunit ribosomal RNA
Source: RNAcentral